RNAcentral lists this ribosomal RNA (433 nucleotides) under uncultured bacterium. Its description in RNAcentral is "partial 16S ribosomal RNA". It matches the Rfam family "Bacterial small subunit ribosomal RNA", at positions 29 to 507 of the family's 1533-position model. The record is from RNAcentral.
AGCGAACGCUGGCGGCAGGCUUAACACAUGCAAGUCGAGCGGACCUUUCGGGGUCAGCGGCGGACGGGUGAGUAACGCGUGGGAACGUGCCUUCCGGUUCGGAAUAACCCUGGGAAACUAGGGCUAAUACCGGAUACGCCCUUAUGGGGAAAGGUUUACUGCCGGAAGAUCGGCCCGCGUCUGAUUAGCUAGUUGGUGGGGUAACGGCCUACCAAGGCGACGAUCAGUAGCUGGUCUGAGAGGAUGAUCAGCCACACUGGGACUGAGACACGGCCCAGACUCCUACGGGAGGCAGCAGUGGGGAGUAUUGGACAAUGGGCGCAAGCCUGAUCCAGCCAUGCCGCGUGAGUGAUGAAGGCCUUAGGGUUGUAAAGCUCUUUUAUCCGGGACGAUAAUGACGGUACCGGAGGAAUAAGCCCCGGCUAACUUCGUG